RNAcentral lists this ribosomal RNA (2515 nucleotides) under Salmonella enterica subsp. enterica serovar Enteritidis. RNAcentral's name for it is "partial 23S ribosomal RNA". It matches the Rfam family "Bacterial large subunit ribosomal RNA". The record is from RNAcentral. Lineage: Bacteria; Pseudomonadati; Pseudomonadota; Gammaproteobacteria; Enterobacterales; Enterobacteriaceae.
CCACCACCAAAGCAUUUGCUGUACCGCGUUGACGGAGCGAAGCGACGUCAAACCGAUAAAACAGCAGUGUAAAGUGAGCCGCAGGGCGCUUUGCGCGACAGCGCAAAGGCAGGCGGUUUCGCGUAGCGAAAGCGAAUGCUUUGGGGUGGGGUGACUGCGUACCUUUUGUAUAAUGGGUCAGCGACUUAUAUUCUGUAGCAAGGUUAACCGAAUAGGGGAGCCGGAGGGAAACCGAGUCUUAAUUGGGCGUUAAGUUGCAGGGUAUAGACCCGAAACCCGGUGAUCUAGCCAUGGGCAGGUUGAAGGUUGGGUAACACUAACUGGAGGACCGAACCGACUAAUGUUGAAAAAUUAGCGGAUGACCUGUGGCUGGGGGUGAAAGGCCAAUCAAACCGGGAGAUAGCUGGUUCUCCCCGAAAGCUAUUUAGGUAGCGCCUCGUGAAUUCAUCUCCGGGGGUAGAGCACUGUUUCGGCUAGGGGGCCAUCCCGGCUUACCAACCCGAUGCAAACUGCGAAUACCGGAGAAUGUUAUCACGGGAGACACACGGCGGGUGCUAACGUCCGUCGUGAAGAGGGAAACAACCCAGACCGCCAGCUAAGGUCCCAAAGUCAUGGUUAAGUGGGAAACGAUGUGGGAAGGCCCAGACAGCCAGGAUGUUGGCUUAGAAGCAGCCAUCAUUUAAAGAAAGCGUAAUAGCUCACUGGUCGAGUCGGCCUGCGCGGAAGAUGUAACGGGGCUAAACCAUGCACCGAAGCUGCGGCAGCGACACUGUGUGUUGUUGGGUAGGGGAGCGUUCUGUAAGCCUGUGAAGGUGUGUCGUGAGGCAUGCUGGAGGUAUCAGAAGUGCGAAUGCUGACAUAAGUAACGAUAAAGCGGGUGAAAAGCCCGCUCGCCGGAAGACCAAGGGUUCCUGUCCAACGUUAAUCGGGGCAGGGUGAGUCGACCCCUAAGGCGAGGCCGAAAGGCGUAGUCGAUGGGAAACGGGUUAAUAUUCCCGUACUUGGUGUUACUGCGAAGGGGGGACGGAGAAGGCUAUGUUGGCCGGGCGACGGUUGUCCCGGUUUAAGCGUGUAGGUGUGUGUUCCAGGUAAAUCCGGUUCACUUUAACACUGAGGCGUGACGACGAGGCACUACGGUGCUGAAGCAACAAAUGCCCUGCUUCCAGGAAAAGCCUCUAAGCAUCAGGUAACAUCAAAUCGUACCCCAAACCGACACAGGUGGUCAGGUAGAGAAUACCAAGGCGCUUGAGAGAACUCGGGUGAAGGAACUAGGCAAAAUGGUGCCGUAACUUCGGGAGAAGGCACGCUGACACGUAGGUGAAGUGAUUUACUCAUGGAGCUGAAGUCAGUCGAAGAUACCAGCUGGCUGCAACUGUUUAUUAAAAACACAGCACUGUGCAAACACGAAAGUGGACGUAUACGGUGUGACGCCUGCCCGGUGCCGGAAGGUUAAUUGAUGGGGUCAGCGCAAGCGAAGCUCCUGAUCGAAGCCCCGGUAAACGGCGGCCGUAACUAUAACGGUCCUAAGGUAGCGAAAUUCCUUGUCGGGUAAGUUCCGACCUGCACGAAUGGCGUAAUGAUGGCCAGGCUGUCUCCACCCGAGACUCAGUGAAAUUGAACUCGCUGUGAAGAUGCAGUGUACCCGCGGCAAGACGGAAAGACCCCGUGAACCUUUACUAUAGCUUGACACUGAACAUUGAGCCUUGAUGUGUAGGAUAGGUGGGAGGCUUUGAAGUGUGGACGCCAGUCUGCAUGGAGCCGACCUUGAAAUACCACCCUUUAAUGUUUGAUGUUCUAACGUGGACCCGUUACCCGGGUUGCGGACAGUGUCUGGUGGGUAGUUUGACUGGGGCGGUCUCCUCCUAAAGAGUAACGGAGGAGCACGAAGGUUGGCUAAUCCUGGUCGGACAUCAGGAGGUUAGUGCAAUGGCAUAAGCCAGCUUGACUGCGAGCGUGACGGCGCGAGCAGGUGCGAAAGCAGGUCAUAGUGAUCCGGUGGUUCUGAAUGGAAGGGCCAUCGCUCAACGGAUAAAAGGUACUCCGGGGAUAACAGGCUGAUACCGCCCAAGAGUUCAUAUCGACGGCGGUGUUUGGCACCUCGAUGUCGGCUCAUCACAUCCUGGGGCUGAAGUAGGUCCCAAGGGUAUGGCUGUUCGCCAUUUAAAGUGGUACGCGAGCUGGGUUUAGAACGUCGUGAGACAGUUCGGUCCCUAUCUGCCGUGGGCGCUGGAGAACUGAGGGGGGCUGCUCCUAGUACGAGAGGACCGGAGUGGACGCAUCACUGGUGUUCGGGUUGUCAUGCCAAUGGCACUGCCCGGUAGCUAAAUGCGGAAGAGAUAAGUGCUGAAAGCAUCUAAGCACGAAACUUGCCCCGAGAUGAGUUCUCCCUGAGACUUUAGGUCUCCUGAAGGAACGUUGAAGACGACGACGUUGAUAGGCCGGGUGUGUAAGCGCAGCGAUGCGUUGAGCUAACCGGUACUAAUGAACCGUGAGGCUUAACCUUACAACGCCGAAG